Molecule: ribosomal RNA, 376 nt
Filed under: uncultured bacterium
Lineage: Bacteria
Description: bacterial SSU rRNA
Rfam family: Bacterial small subunit ribosomal RNA
Source: RNAcentral
UAAUACAGAGGGGGCAAGCGUUAUUCGGAAUUAUUGGGCGUAAAGGGCGCGUAGGCGGCUUGGCAAGUGGAUGGUGAAAUCCCUCGGCUUAACCGAGGAACUGCCGUCCAAACUGCUUCGCUUGAGACCGGGAGAGGUGAGUGGAAUUCCCAGUGUAGCGGUGAAAUGCGUAGAUAUUGGGAGGAACACCAGUGGCGAAGGCGGCUCACUGGACCGGUACUGACGCUGAUGCGCGAAAGCGUGGGGAGCAAACGGGAUUAGAUACCCCGGUAGUCCACGCCGUAAACGAUGAGUGCUUGGUGUAGCGGGUAUCGACCCCUGCUGUGCCGAAGUCAACACAUUAAGCACUCCGCCUGGGGAGUACGGUCGCAAGGCU